Mastomys coucha (southern multimammate mouse) is the source of this 773-nucleotide long non-coding RNA. RefSeq lists it as uncharacterized. NCBI's taxonomy places the organism in Eukaryota, Metazoa, Chordata, Mammalia, Rodentia, Muridae. The transcript is spliced from 4 exons. The record is from RefSeq and is a predicted model, not a curated record.
CCUUUGUGACGUCAUUGGUACGGCUGAAUACUUACCUUAGUCCCUGACCAGGGCAGCUGUGUUCUGGAAGGAUGAAAGUCGGGAAUGGUCCAGAGUCGGGGGGCGGGGGGUGAGGAGGGGCAGUGCUACACAGAGAGAUAUGUUUUGUGGUGAGAGGCCGAUGACAUUAAAAGGAACAGUCUGAUUGAGAUUUCGGAGCCAGCCGGACCACUGGAGCAGAGUCACCUUUUUGGUCUCACAGUCCAGCUCAUGGAUGGAGAGCCAGGCUGAUUUGUCUCCCCUUCAGGUAUAAGCUCCACUCCCAGGAAUCUACACCACCUGUCUAUAGGAGAGCUGUGAGGUGUCUGGUCACAUCAUCCUGCUUCAUCUUCAAGAGACACCCACAAUUUCCAAAGAGGGGAAGAGGCACUGUGGGCAAGCAGCCAGAGCCGAUGCCCAUUGUCCAUAGACGUCCAGCUGGGGUCAAGUGACCAGGACUUUGCUGACGGUCCAGCAGAAUGCCGUGUGAUGGUUCUUCACCAUGACCUGAUGAGAUUUGGAAUCAGAAGAGCUACACACUCUACCACAAUACGUUCCUUCACCACAGGCCCAGAGUAAUGAAGACAAGCCUCUGUGAGCCAAGAUCUGCAGAACUGUGGGCCAAAAUAACUGUUUCUAAAGAGAAAGGGUUGAUCAACUUUGAUAUUUGUAAGAGUGGCAGAAAACUGACAGACAUGAUCAAUGGCUUGGUCAAUGUUCCUGGCUUGGUGAUUAUAAAAGAACUACCAUGAGAA